UACAGAGACUGCAAGCGUUAUUCGGAUUCACUGGGCGUAAAGGGUGCGCAGGCGGUUGGGUGUGUCAGGGGUGAAAGCCCGGGGCUUAACCCCGGAAUUGCGCCUGAAACUACAUGACUAGAGCAUUGGAGAGGGUAGCGGAAUUCACGGUGUAGCAGUGAAAUGCGUAGAUAUCGUGAGGAACACCAGAGGCGAAGGCGGCUACCUGGACAAUUGCUGACGCUCAGGCACGAAAGCGUGGGGAGCAAAAGGG
This 253-nucleotide ribosomal RNA is filed under the name uncultured bacterium. Its description in RNAcentral is "partial 16S ribosomal RNA". It matches the Rfam family "Bacterial small subunit ribosomal RNA", at positions 524 to 776 of the family's 1533-position model. The record is from RNAcentral.